RNAcentral lists this ribosomal RNA (253 nucleotides) under uncultured bacterium. RNAcentral's name for it is "partial 16S ribosomal RNA". It matches the Rfam family "Bacterial small subunit ribosomal RNA", at positions 524 to 776 of the family's 1533-position model. The record is from RNAcentral.
GACGGAGGGUGCUAGCGUUGUUCGGAAUCACUGGGCGUAAAGGGCGCGUAGGCGGCCUGGAAAGUCAGAUGUGAAAGCCCGGGGCCCAACCCCGGAAUUGCAUUUGAGACUCCCUCGCUCGAGGUCCUGAGAGGAGGGUGGAAUACCCAGUGUAGUGGUGAAAUUCGUAGAUAUUGGGAGGAACACCAGUGGCGGACGCGGCCAUCUGGUUGGUAACUGACGCUGAGACGCGAAGGCGUGGGGAGCAAACAGG